GCUCAGGAUGAACGCUAGCUACAGGCUUAACACAUGCAAGUCGAGGGGCAGCGGGAUUGAAGCUUGCUUCAAUCGCCGGCGACCGGCGCACGGGUGAGUAACGCGUAUCCAACCUUCCGUUUACUCAGGGAUAGCCUUUCGAAAGAAAGAUUAAUACCUGAUAGUAUGGUAAGAUUGCAUGAUAGUACCAUUAAAGAUUUAUUGGUAAACGAUGGGGAUGCGUUCCAUUAGGUAGUAGGCGGGGUAACGGCCCACCUAGCCUACGAUGGAUAGGGGUUCUGAGAGGAAGGUCCCCCACAUUGGAACUGAGACACGGUCCAAACUCCUACGGGAGGCAGCAGUGAGGAAUAUUGGUCAAUGGGCGAGAGCCUGAAC
RNAcentral lists this ribosomal RNA (375 nucleotides) under uncultured Bacteroides sp. RNAcentral describes it as "bacterial SSU rRNA". It matches the Rfam family "Bacterial small subunit ribosomal RNA", at positions 22 to 388 of the family's 1533-position model. Lineage: Bacteria; Pseudomonadati; Bacteroidota; Bacteroidia; Bacteroidales; Bacteroidaceae. The record is from RNAcentral.